GAAAAAGGAACUUCUACUAAAACCGCACACCUCGUGUGUGCAGCGUAGAAGCCACCGCCUCCUGCGGA
RNAcentral lists this small RNA (68 nucleotides) under Alteribacillus iranensis. RNAcentral describes it as "Bacillus sp. X5B(2010) Bacillaceae-1 RNA". It matches the Rfam family "Bacillaceae-1 RNA". The record is from Rfam by way of RNAcentral. Lineage: Bacteria; Bacillati; Bacillota; Bacilli; Caryophanales; Bacillaceae.